GGGAAUGUGGCUUAGUGGUAGAGUGCUUGCCUAGCAUGCAUGAAGCCCUGGGUUCAAUUCCUCAGUGCCA
Non-coding RNA from Dipodomys ordii (Ord's kangaroo rat), 70 nucleotides. NCBI's taxonomy places the organism in Eukaryota, Metazoa, Chordata, Mammalia, Rodentia, Heteromyidae. The record is from Rfam.